GGAGAGGGGGGCAUAGUGGAAGGGGUGGGCAAAGCGAAAAAUUUGAUUUUACCAACACUCUUUCACCCAACGGCACUCGUGCUUCACGUAAGCCAAGCACAGGGCCGACCAAGGUCAUUGACCAAAAUCAGUCCGGCUAGCGCCACCGAGCAGGCUACAUGACUGCGCGAUGUAGAUCGAGUGAGUUUCUUACGAAAUUCAAGGAUUUUGGAAACUGGAUAUUAUUGUGAAAAAUGGUUCAUAAUUAUUACAAAAGUAAAACGAACCAAGGCUCAUGGAGAGAAGAUCAAAUGAGAAGAGCGAUGGAGGAAGCGAGUCUUACUACGAUUAGUUCGGCAUCACAAAAUAUGGUAUCCUAAUUGGAACUCUUCAUUGUCAUUUGAAAUCUGGUGAUGCAUCGAAGAAGAUUGAUGGGUUUCGUCCAGUAUUUUUCAAAAAAACUGGAGCAAAAAAUAUAUGAUCUUGCAGUAGUAAGGGACAAGGUUUUUUAUGGCCUAAAACAGUUCCUAAUUACUAAAUAAGUUGUUUAUGUUAUUUCAUUUAAUUGACCUCAUUAGCAAAAUGCUCAAAUACAGUUGAUAAACGCUUAAUAAGUGCCUUUUUCACUUUGCCCAAUGUGCAAUUCCACUUUACCCUUGUGAUAAGGGCAAAGCGGAAAAUUAUAGACUAUAAAAAAAACUUAUUUUAUGCCAAAAUAGUUAAUAAUUCGUAAAUUUUUUUUAGAGUUAUCUAUAAUAUAAUACUUGUAGUAUCAUUUCGAUUAAAACUAGUCUUCGUAACUUA
Ostrinia nubilalis (European corn borer) is the source of this 783-nucleotide long non-coding RNA. RefSeq lists it as uncharacterized. The record is from RefSeq and is a predicted model, not a curated record. NCBI's taxonomy places the organism in Eukaryota, Metazoa, Arthropoda, Insecta, Lepidoptera, Crambidae. The transcript is spliced from 2 exons.